AAGAGCAUGGUCAGCAGGUGGGUGAUAUCGAGGAGAGUUGCAAUGCUUUAGGGUCGAGUCCUCUGUGGAAUUGAAAAGAAAAUUCAUACAUUCAAGAUGUCCAGUUAGAAGUCUCUUCUACAAGUGAGAAGCUGUUUCAGUAAUCCUACGCAGGUGUGGGCUGACUGACAGCACAAACACAAUGGAGGAACCCUUUGAUGAAGACUUAUGUGUUGAACUUUACUGUGAGGUAGAAGAAACUUCACCUACAUCACGUACUGACAGCAAGGAUGACUGUCGACAGAGUGAUG
Non-coding RNA from Labrus bergylta (ballan wrasse), 290 nucleotides. NCBI's taxonomy places the organism in Eukaryota, Metazoa, Chordata, Actinopteri, Labriformes, Labridae. The record is from RefSeq and is a predicted model, not a curated record.